This 73-nucleotide transfer RNA is filed under the name Priolepis cincta (girdled goby). RNAcentral describes it as "tRNA-Asn". It matches the Rfam family "tRNA". Rfam says of the family: Transfer RNA (tRNA) molecules are approximately 80 nucleotides in length. Lineage: Eukaryota; Metazoa; Chordata; Actinopteri; Gobiiformes; Gobiidae. The record is from RNAcentral.
UAGAUUGAUGCUCGUUGGUUGGAGCGCUUAGCUGUUAACUAAGAGUUUGUGGGAUCAAAGCCUUCCUAUCUAG